RNAcentral lists this ribosomal RNA (275 nucleotides) under uncultured Methanosaeta sp. RNAcentral describes it as "partial 16S ribosomal RNA". It matches the Rfam family "Archaeal small subunit ribosomal RNA", at positions 725 to 999 of the family's 1478-position model. Lineage: Archaea; Methanobacteriati; Methanobacteriota; Methanomicrobia; Methanotrichales; Methanotrichaceae. The record is from RNAcentral.
UCGAUUAGAUACCCCGGUAGUCCUAGCCGUAAACGAUACUCGCUAGGUGUCGGCCACGGUGCGACCGUUGUCGGUGCCGUAGGGAAGCCGUGAAGCGAGCCACCUGGGAAGUACGGCCGCAAGGCUGAAACUUAAAGGAAUUGGCGGGGGAGCACCACAACGGGUGGAGCUUGCGGUUUAAUUGGAUUCAACGCCGGAAAUCUUACCGGGACCGACAGCAAUAUGAAGGCCAGGCUGAAGACUUUGCCGGAUUAGCUGAGAGGUGGUGCAUGGCA